RNAcentral lists this small RNA (807 nucleotides) under Arabidopsis thaliana (thale cress). RNAcentral's name for it is "ATSL049720". The record is from RNAcentral. Lineage: Eukaryota; Viridiplantae; Streptophyta; Magnoliopsida; Brassicales; Brassicaceae.
UAAAUAUAUAUAUUUACGUACGUCGUUAAGUAGUUAAGUUUGAGCUAACGGUUGUAACCGAUCUAAAAUGAAAAAAUGGGUGACGAUUUUCACCUAAACUUUUCGGAUUCUUGCUGAAUCUUAACUAGAGUUUGGUAACUAUAUGGCCGGAUGUCAUUGUCGAAGCCAUCUAAUAUUGCGAGAUUUUGGCAGAUUUUCAAUGGAUCUCAACCAAAAUCAUAGUAACUGUGGUGUCUAGUUCCACAUGAACAAAAAAUAUCAUGCAUUUCCCCUAACACGUAGAAGUAGAAGAGGUAACGAUAAAAGUUUUGCCCAGAUAAAAAGAUAAAAGAGAGAGAAGAAGAAAUAAAUGUGGGAUUUUUAUUUAAAAAAGAAUUAAAUACGAGAUUGAUCAGAUUGGUGGAACAAAGCUGUAUAAAUUUGUUAGUUGUUAACUAGAGAGAUAAUUUUUUACGAAAUAGCGUAAAGCUGUACAGAAUUUGAUGUUACUUUUUUGAUUGGUAACUAUCAAAGCGGUAUGCCCUAUAUUAAAAUUGUAUUAAAAUUGUAUGAAGUUAUCAUUCAAAUUCCUAGUUUAACUUUUGGUCUAUGGGAAUUAGAUCCCUAAGUUUUACAUCAACAUAUCAUUUGAUCAUGGCAGUGUACACAAUAGAUUUUUCAUAUACUUUUGAUCAAUUGUCAAAAAAUUUAAUAAUAAAAUUUAAAAAUAAAUGAAAAAUGGUUGACACACUUGGACCAUUACAAAAAUGAGGAGCUCAAGAAUCCCAAGUGGUUUUCACUUUAUUCUUUACAAAUUUGUACCGCCAU